This 1690-nucleotide ribosomal RNA is filed under the name Triticum aestivum (bread wheat). Its description in RNAcentral is "partial small subunit ribosomal RNA". Lineage: Eukaryota; Viridiplantae; Streptophyta; Magnoliopsida; Poales; Poaceae. The record is from RNAcentral.
AUCAGCCGGAUGCUUUUCACGCGGAAGGCAAAAUCGAGAACCCUAAAGCCGCCGCCCACACAUCCCCAAGGAAUAAAACCUCAAGGCCGCGGCUGACAUCCCUCCCCAGCUUACACCUAGCCGCCGCCGCCGACGACGAAAUCCACCCAAGCCGCCGAGCUCGUCUCGCCGUCGUCGCGCUCUAGGCUUUUGGGAUGGAGGCCGAGACGGCGGCGAAGAGGGCGCGGGAGAACGAGGGCGCUGCGGCGGCGGACGGAGCCGGGGAGCAGGCGGGGGUCUCCGCCGUCAUCCCCGGAUGGUUCUCCGAGAUCAGCCCCAUGUGGCCCGGCGAGGCGCACUCGCUCAAGGUGGAGAAGGUCCUGUUCCAAGGCAAGUCGGACUACCAAGACGUGCUGGUUUUCCAGUCCUCCACCUACGGGAAGGUGCUCGUCCUGGAUGGGGUGAUCCAGGUGACCGAGAGGGAUGAGUGCGCCUACCAGGAGAUGAUCACCCACCUCCCUCUCUGCUCAAUCAAAGACCCCAAGAAGGUCCUGGUCAUCGGGGGCGGAGACGGCGGCGUUCUGCGCGAGGUCUCGCGGCACUCCUCGGUGGAGCAGAUCGACAUCUGCGAGAUCGACAAGAUGGUGGUCGAUGUGUCGAAGCAGUUCUUCCCUCACCUGGCCCUCGGGUUCGAGGACCCUCGCGUGUCCCUGCACAUCGGCGACGGCGUCGCCUUCCUGAAGAAUGCUCCAGAGGGCACCUAUGAUGCAGUGAUCGUCGAUUCCUCCGACCCAGUAGGCCCUGCCCAGGAGCUGUUCGAGAAGCCGUUCUUCGAGUCCGUCUCCAGGGCUCUGCGUCCGGGCGGGGUCGUCUGCACCCAGGCGGAGAGCAUAUGGCUGCACAUGCACAUCAUAGAGGACAUUGUCACCAACUGUCGCCAGGUUUUCAAAGGCUCGGUGAACUACGCAUGGACUACGGUGCCCACAUACCCAAGCGGAGUGAUAGGUUUCAUGCUCUGCUCCACGGAGGGACCUAGUGUUGAUUUCCAGCAUCCCGUCUUCAGCAUCGAGGAGGACGAAUACUCCACAAAAUCAAAGGGGCCGCUCAAGUUCUACAAUUCCGAGUUCCACACCGCAUCGUUUUGUUUGCCAUCAUUUGCGAGGAGGGUCAUUGAGGCCAAGGCUAACUAGAUUCUUAUGAAGAUGGUCACUGAAACCAAGGCCAACUAGAAGAGCUGGUUUGGUUUCAAUUUCAACACUGGGAGAAAUCUGUCUUAGCGUAGACAGAGGAAAAGCCCCCUUUUUUAUUAACUUGCAAUAAGCCCACAUGGAAAUUAUUGGUACCUGUGAUUCUGUCUGCUGUAUGUCUCAGCUUGUAUUUCCUGGCUACCUGGUGGUAUGAGAACCUUCUGAAUUUAGUCUUUUGCCCUGCAGUUUUCCUUUCUUAUCUUAUGCUUCCUCUGUAUCAAAAUGUAAGACAUGUUUUUACUGCGUUUAGGGGGGCAGGGGUGACAGUUCCUGUCAUGGCAGUUCGUUCGGAUUUUUGGAAUAAGACCCUGCCUUGUGGACAGAACACGGUUGGAUUAAAUUGGUUACAUUUUUGGAAUAAGACCCUGCCUUGUGGACACAACACGGUUGGAUUUUUGUAUCAGAGGAAGACUUGUUAAUUAUAUAUGCUUGUGUGAUGUCUUAAUAAGAUAUCCCCAACUACU